This 823-nucleotide ribosomal RNA is filed under the name uncultured bacterium. Its description in RNAcentral is "bacterial SSU rRNA". It matches the Rfam family "Bacterial small subunit ribosomal RNA", at positions 61 to 877 of the family's 1533-position model. The record is from RNAcentral.
GUCGAGGGGCAGCAUGAACUUAGCUUGCUAAGUUUGAUGGCGACCGGCGCACGGGUGAGUAACACGUAUCCAACCUGCCGAUGACUCGGGGAUAGCCUUUCGAAAGAAAGAUUAAUACCCGAUGGCAUAAUUCUUCCGCAUGGUAGAAUUAUUAAAGAAUUUCGGUCAUCGAUGGGGAUGCGUUCCAUUAGGUUGUUGGCGGGGUAACGGCCCACCAAGCCUUCGAUGGAUAGGGGUUCUGAGAGGAAGGUCCCCCACAUUGGAACUGAGACACGGUCCAAACUCCUACGGGAGGCAGCAGUGAGGAAUAUUGGUCAAUGGACGAGAGUCUGAACCAGCCAAGUAGCGUGAAGGAUGACUGCCCUAUGGGUUGUAAACUUCUUUUAUACGGGAAUAAAGUGAGGCACGUGUGCCUUUUUGUAUGUACCGUAUGAAUAAGGAUCGGCUAACUCCGUGCCAGCAGCCGCGGUAAUACGGAGGAUCCGAGCGUUAUCCGGAUUUAUUGGGUUUAAAGGGAGCGUAGGCGGACGCUUAAGUCAGUUGUGAAAGUUUGCGGCUCAACCGUAAAAUUGCAGUUGAUACUGGGUGUCUUGAGUACAGUAGAGGCAGGCGGAAUUCGUGGUGUAGCGGUGAAAUGCUUAGAUAUCACGAAGAACUCCGAUUGCGAAGGCAGCCUGCUGGACUGUAACUGACGCUGAUGCUCGAAAGUGUGGGUAUCAAACAGGAUUAGAUACCCUGGUAGUCCACACAGUAAACGAUGAAUACUCGCUGUUUGCGAUAUACAGUAAGCGGCCAAGCGAAAGCGUUAAGUAUUCCACCUGGG